CCGAACCGACUAAUGUUGAAAAAUUAGCGGAUGACCUGUGGCUGGGGGUGAAAGGCCAAUCAAACCGGGAGAUAGCUGGUUCUCCCCGAAAGCUAUUUAGGUAGCGCCUCGUGAAUUCAUCUCCGGGGGUAGAGCACUGUUUCGGCUAGGGGGCCAUCCCGGCUUACCAACCCGAUGCAAACUGCGAAUACCGGAGAAUGUUAUCACGGGAGACACACGGCGGGUGCUAACGUCCGUCGUGAAGAGGGAAACAACCCAGACCGCCAGCUAAGGUCCCAAAGUCAUGGUUAAGUGGGAAACGAUGUGGGAAGGCCCAGACAGCCAGGAUGUUGGCUUAGAAGCAGCCAUCAUUUAAAGAAAGCGUAAUAGCUCACUGGUCGAGUCGGCCUGCGCGGAAGAUGUAACGGGGCUAAACCAUGCACCGAAGCUGCGGCAGCGACACUGUGUGUUGUUGGGUAGGGGAGCGUUCUGUAAGCCUGUGAAGGUGUGUCGUGAGGCAUGCUGGAGGUAUC
This 512-nucleotide ribosomal RNA is filed under the name Salmonella enterica. RNAcentral describes it as "partial 23S ribosomal RNA". It matches the Rfam family "Bacterial large subunit ribosomal RNA", at positions 774 to 1283 of the family's 2925-position model. The record is from RNAcentral. Lineage: Bacteria; Pseudomonadati; Pseudomonadota; Gammaproteobacteria; Enterobacterales; Enterobacteriaceae. RNAcentral also lists the same sequence under 1 other name.